GAUGAACGCUAGCGGCAGGCCUAAUACAUGCAAGUCGAGGGGCAGCGGGUGUGGCAAUACAUGCCGGCGACCGGCGCACGGGUGCGUAACACGUAUACAAUCUGCCUUUAACUGGGGGAUGGCCCGGAGAAAUCCGGAUUAAUACCCCAUAAUAUAUUGGAUGGCAUCAUUCGAUAUUGAAGGCUCCGGCGGUUAGAGAUGAGUAUGCGUCUGAUUAGCUAGAUGGUGAGGUAACGGCUCACCAUGGCGACGAUCAGUAGGGGAUCUGAGAGGACUACCCCCCACACGGAUACUGAGACACGGAUCCGACUCCUACGGGAGGCAGCAGUAAGGAAUAUUGGACAAUGGUCGCAAGACUGAUCCAGCCAUGCCGCGUGCAGGAAGACGGCCCUACGGGUUGUAAACUGCUUUUGCACCAGAGAAAACCCUUCUACGUGUAGGAGGCUGAUAGUAUGGCGAGAAUAAGCAUCGGCUAACUUCGUGCCAGCCGCCGCAGUAAAAC
Molecule: ribosomal RNA, 502 nt
Filed under: uncultured bacterium
Lineage: Bacteria
Description: bacterial SSU rRNA
Rfam family: Bacterial small subunit ribosomal RNA
Source: RNAcentral